AAUUGCACAGUGUGGUUUACCAAAGUGCGAUAUCGCAGUUGCUGUGUCAAUGUAUCAGGCAAGAUAUUGCGCUGAAGAGGUUUAUUGUUAAGUUGAACGAAACGGUGCAGUUGGGUUUGCCGUUUUUUCUGCCCGUUUCAGGACUUUGUGGCAUAAGUGUUAUUUUUUUUCUUUUGAAUUAUAUGUGUACCAUGAGUUUGGUUUUGUGGCUGCGUGUUUCAGCCUUUUUUAUCUGUCUUGUUUUCGUGGCUUUGAUUUUUUCAGUUUCUGGACAAUUGCUUAUUGAUGAGACAGGUAAAAUUUUUGAUACGUUGGUCAAGUGUCCUUGGCAUAUUUGGAAUGUCAGGAAUCGUAAAAUUUAUUUAAUUUGUUUGACUCAUUGUGUGAGGCCUAACUGUAUUUCAUACGCUGGAAUUACCCUCAAUCGUAGUUUUCUAAUUACGGUUUUUUACAAAACGGUGUCUAAUGCCUUCAUUUUGUACCAAGUUAGAAAUUCUUGAUGAAAUAAGAUAAAAUUUGCAAUUCCAACUUAACUUUAACUCUGUAAAACAAAAAUUUUACGAAAUUUUAUUAUCUACGUGAUGCCACAUUCUUUUUAUUAAAUAAAAAAAUUCAAUUUUUCUACAGCCGUCAAAAAAUCGUGACAUUUAUGCAUGGUUACCUAUGCGCGAAGUUUGACGUUUUUUCACUGUGAAAAAAUAUUAUUUUUUCACGGUUUCACAGUG
Tribolium castaneum (red flour beetle) is the source of this 725-nucleotide long non-coding RNA. RefSeq lists it as uncharacterized. The transcript is spliced from 4 exons. The record is from RefSeq and is a predicted model, not a curated record. Lineage: Eukaryota; Metazoa; Arthropoda; Insecta; Coleoptera; Tenebrionidae.